Long non-coding RNA from Pseudophryne corroboree (corroboree frog), 903 nucleotides. RefSeq lists it as uncharacterized. The record is from RefSeq and is a predicted model, not a curated record. The transcript has 3 exons. NCBI's taxonomy places the organism in Eukaryota, Metazoa, Chordata, Amphibia, Anura, Myobatrachidae.
GUGAUGCCGUGGGUGAAGGUGGUACCACAAUAAUAUAUUGUAUUUCCUACUCAUACACGUAUUGUACGAUGCUGUUGGAGAAGGUCAACCGCAGUGUUCAACUACCAUUUUUCACUUAUACACUUAUUGUGUGACGCUAUUGGCUAAGGGUCGGCUAGAGGCACGUUCUUUAGGAGUGGCCUUGCAGGGCCCAGUACUGCUAAGGGCAGCCAUCAGCCGGCGCCUGCCCUGAGUUGACUGACAUUGGAGGCCAGAGACCAGGUAGCUGCAGCGAGGCAGCAGAGACGGCCACAGUGGAACAGCAGAGGCGGCCGCAGCAGGACAGCAGUGGCGACCAUGGUCACUGAGGGGACCAUGGGAUUGGCCCUGAGAGAUUCAGCCUGGAGUCCCAGUGGCCCAAUCUGCCCCUGCAUAUAAUAAUCUAGUAAAGUCUGUCCCAUCUUCAAUGCACACAUUCCACUCCAAUGUCUUCCACUGCAGUUUUUUACGUAACAAUUCUGGACGAAGGACCGCACUGCUCUGGGAAGGAGUAAGUAUAUACAGUGGGGAAUGGAUGGAACAAAGCAGGGGGAGGGAUUGAAUGAAGAAGCAGAUGGACUGAGAUGACCUGCUGUUGACCCAGAAGAUAUGAUUGGUCCCUUUAAUAAACUUAAAUAAAUAAGAUAUUUAAUAGAGUUUCUAACUUUUUAUAUAAACCUUUAUGCUGUUCGCUUGUUUUAUUUACAGUUAAUUAUAUUUUUUGUAGCAAGGUCUUUUUUUGCUAUAAUAUUCUUUGCAUUAGACAAUUAAAUGCAGUGUUAUAUAGUAAGGGUGCAUGUUGCAUUUCUAUAGAUGUGCUCCCCUUUAUUUGAUACAUAUCUGGAAUAAUAAACAUUCUAUUUCUGUCAUUCCCUAUUCAGCAAG